GUGAUAUCAGGGCUUGCUCUGGUUGAUCAGUGGCGAACGGGUGAGUAACACGUGAGUAACCUGCCCCAGACUCUGGGAUAACUUCGGGAAAUCGGAGCUAAUACUGGAUAUGAGACGUCCUCGCAUGGGGAGCGUCUGGAAAGAUUUAUCGGUCUGGGAUGGACUCGCGGCCUAUCAGCUUGUUGGUGAGGUAAUGGCUCACCAAGGCGACGACGGGUAGCCGGCCUGAGAGGGCGACCGGCCACACUGGGACUGAGAUACGGCCCAGACUCCUACGGGAGGCAGCAGUGGGGAAUAUUGCACAAUGGGCGAAAGCCUGAUGCAGCGACGCCGCGUGAGGGAUGAAGGCCUUCGGGUUGUAAACCUCUUUCAGCAGGGAAGAAGCGAAAGUGACGGUACCUGCAGAAGAAGCGCCGGCUAACUACGUGCCAGCAGCCGCGGUAAUACGUAGGGCGCAAGCGUUGUCCGGAAUUAUUGGGCGUAAAGAGCUCGUAGGCGGUCUGUCGCGUCUGUUGUGAAAACUCGAGGCUCAACCUCGGGCUUGCAGUGGAUACGGGCAGACUAGAGUGCGGUAGGGGAGACUGGAAUUCCUGGUGUAGCGGUGGAAUGCGCAGAUAUCAGGAGGAACACCGAUGGCGAAGGCAGGUCUCUGGGCCGCAACUGACGCUGAGGAGCGAAAGCAUGGGGAGCGAACA
This 695-nucleotide ribosomal RNA is filed under the name uncultured bacterium. Its description in RNAcentral is "bacterial SSU rRNA". It matches the Rfam family "Bacterial small subunit ribosomal RNA", at positions 66 to 774 of the family's 1533-position model. The record is from RNAcentral.